Molecule: non-coding RNA, 2970 nt
Organism: Cherax quadricarinatus
Lineage: Eukaryota; Metazoa; Arthropoda; Malacostraca; Decapoda; Parastacidae
Source: RefSeq, a predicted model, not a curated record
UGUGAGGGAGGGAGGGAGGACAACACUGUUACCCAGCAUGCACCAGCACACCCGACGCUCCUGCUGUGUCGGCUGCACGUGUUCGACUCUCCUGCUUUAUUACGGAUUUGUUCCUUGGCUGAAGCUCCUGGAAUCCUGUAGGAGUGAUGAGGAAGGGUAGUAAAGGGCACCUCAACGGUGAGGUAAGUGGAAUGGACAACUCUUCGAGGGACAUUUGGACACAAAUGCCAGGUAAGCUUCGUUACACGUUCUGCAACAGCCAUGUGUGCAUUCAAUGCUCGGGCAGUGUACAGAAAGACUAAUAUCUUCAGUGGCUAGGUAGUGACAGAGCAUGCUGAAGCCUGAGUGCUUUGCAAGAUGCUGUAAUCGUGUGGUGGUUUGGGAGACGCAGCCUCUGUUAUUACUGUUAUUAGAGUAAAAGACGUGCGUAACGUACCCAGUUCUUUUUCUAAUUAUGGAACGUGAGAAAGGACUUAUCAAACCCGUGAUGAAAUAUAUUUUCCCUUGGUUGCGGAAAACCCACACUUUGAUAAGGGAAAUAAUGUUAAGGAAGGCUUGAAGAUUCCACAUCUCAAGGUAAAAGUUAAAUAUACUUAAGCCAGUUUUUCGUAUGCCAAUAUAUUUUUACUCCAGAACUAACCAAGGCGCCCAAGCUUGCCAAAAUUUACACCUAAUAUUGAUUAAUUUACCUGAUCAUAGAAUAAACAUAUCAAUAUUUAGAAUAUUUUAAAUUAAGGAAUUGCAGAAAAUAUUCUGAUUAACCUAGUGGAAACUCUUUGCCUUUUAAGCAACAGGUGUUCAUUUCAUUGCAGUGAUUUUUUCUUGGUUAUGGAAGCCAUGAGAUGCAUAGUAUAUUUUGUUCUUGAUUGUGAGAGAAUCUCCAGACUGCAGACCUGUCCAGAGGGAAGGGGGGGGGGUGUACAUUCAUAUAACCUGGCGGGCGUGGUGAGCCUUAAAGAAAAGCAAAAAGUGCGGUAGAGUUCGAAAAUGGGUGUGUGGCUCCUUAAUAGAACUGUCGCUAAGAAACAAUUCUUAGCAGAUUUUAAGAAUAGAGCUUUUGCGUGUCUUACAUCAAGCAGCUUGCAGGUGUUGCUGCUCCUUAGCGAGCCUUGUGAUGUAGUGCUGACACGAGUUAUUCCACUCUCAGUUUUUGUACCUUAAUAGGGGGUAUUUUUAAAUACCGGUGUGCCAGUACGAAGCUCCAUUUUAAGGGAAUUUUAUAAAUGAUGCGGGACACUUAACUGUGAUAGUUUUUUUUUUUUCCGAGUGUUGGUUUUAAUAUUGCACGUGUUCGUAUUAGACUUCUCGGCUUUGUCUUAGUGCUUGUUGUUUUUAAUUGUCAACGGUGCUGAAUAAACUUGUUAAUUUUUUUUAAUAAUGCCACUUGCUUCUAGAUCCUAAUGUUUUGCUAAUUCUAGAAAUGUGACUUUCCAUAAUCGUCCACUUACCUUCAUGGUACUCGAGUACAGAGAAACUAACUAGUGGGCAUAAAAUUUGUGUUUAAUUAACUAGUGAUUGUUAAUUUAGCUGGAGAAUUUCUAAAGAACUGAGAAAUUUUUUGUAUCUACCAAGAACAUUAUAAAAAUAAAAGGAAGCAUGGUUUAUUUUAAACCGCCUGUACCCUACGACUAAAAGAUUCCAAGAAAAUGGGUUGAAGAACCUACUCCCAUAACCUGCCUCGGGAAGGGGGGGGGGCUUAAUAAGGAUACUGGCUGGCUGUUUGUUCAAAGCUCGCCUCGUCUGAUUGGAAAGCUCUGCUCUAAGGUGACGUUAAUAACUAAGUGAAUGCCUUCACUUAUCGUUACUGUUUUGUGUUAAGCCUUGGGAAUGAGAACUUGAUUUAUGUUGGGUCAUCAAAACAAUUUGGAUAUGCGCGUGUAAUAUUUUGGUUUUAAUUUGAGGUAUAAUCAUGUAUACAGUAGAAGAUUUAAAAAGACAAUCUCUUCCAACUCCUCAGCUGAAAGAAUCGAGAAUGCAACAGGAAUAUCACCCUCGCGAUGGCCAACCACAGUGAGAAGAAACAGGAAGGUAACAGCUCUUGGGGUCCCUGUGGUCUAUGAGCUGGAACCUGCUUUGAAAAAAAAAAUGCCUGUUACCCAUUUUCCCCAUUAGUCCAAAGGUCUUUGAUCCUUCUACAACAAAUUAGUACUGGUGGCCCAUGUCUCCAUAUGUUGGUUUUGAAUUCUUCCUCGUGAUCAGCGUCAUUACCUUUAUGCCCAACAAUCAUUAUUUUUUUUUUUGGGGGGGGGGGGCCUACCUCGGUGAGAGUGCGUGUUAAAAAACUAAGCGAGCGAGCGCGCGCGCACACCACACACACAACACACACAACACACACACACACACACACACACACACACACACACACACACACACACACACACACACACACACACACACACACACACACACACACACACACACACACACACACACACACACACACACACACACACCGGUACAAGCAACGCGCGCACAAAUAAACAUACAAUCCACGCUAUGCACGCACUCGAAAUUUAAGAUGAAUUUUUUUUUUUUAUAUUGAAAAUCUCAGGUACACAAAACAAACAUAUAGGCAAAAAUAACAAGUACAGAUAAUAAAUAAGGGACACUUGUUUAUACAAUUCACUCAAGGAAUGCGUAUUGUAAAACAUGUCAAACCACAAACAAAAACAUAGCUACCUUGAAAGGUCUGUAUAAUCCUCCGGGUUUAGCGCUUCCCCCUUGAUUAUAAUAAUAAAUAAUAAUACCUUGAAAGGUAGUGUGAAGCAUUACUUUGGGAAUGAAGAUAAUCCCUUAUAGAACAUAUAGUGAACUUCUCAAAAGUCCCACCAAACACAAUACAGUAUUUGACUUUGCACAGCAAACCAUAUAAUUCACGUGGUUAGAAAAAAAAAAAACAUAGGAACACAGUAGAUACGAAUAUGAAAACCUCAUGUACAUGGAACAGUAACAUGUAUGCCAAAUAAACAA